GAUGAACGCUGGCGGCGUGCCUAAUACAUGCAAGUCGAGCGAACAGAUAAGGAGCUUGCUCCUUUGACGUUAGCGGCGGACGGGCGGGUAAGACGUGGGUAACCUACCUAUAAGACUGGAAUAACUCCGGGAAACCGGGGCUAAUGCCGGAUAACAUUUAGAACGGGAUGGUUCUAAAGUGAAAGAUGGUUUUGCUAUCACUUAUAGAUGGAGCCGGGCCGUAUUAGCUAGUUGGUAAGGUAACGGCUUACCAAGGCAACGAUACGUAGCCGAGCUGAGAGGAUGAUCGGCCACACUGGAACUGAGACACGGUCCAGACUCCUACGGGAGGCAGCAGUAGGGAAUCUUGCGCAAUGGGCGAAAGCCUGACGGAGCAAUGCCGCGUGAGUGAUGAAGGUCUUCGGGUUGUAAAGCUCUGUUGUUAGGAAAGAAAAGAUGUGUAAGUAUCUGUGGACGUCUUGACGGUACCUAAACAAAAAGCACCGGCUAACUACGUG
RNAcentral lists this ribosomal RNA (497 nucleotides) under uncultured bacterium. RNAcentral's name for it is "partial 16S ribosomal RNA". It matches the Rfam family "Bacterial small subunit ribosomal RNA", at positions 28 to 507 of the family's 1533-position model. The record is from RNAcentral.